This 249-nucleotide ribosomal RNA is filed under the name uncultured bacterium. RNAcentral's name for it is "partial 16S ribosomal RNA". It matches the Rfam family "Bacterial small subunit ribosomal RNA", at positions 524 to 772 of the family's 1533-position model. The record is from RNAcentral.
UACAGAGGUGGCAAGCGUUGUUCGGAAUUACUGGGCGUAAAGGGCGCGUAGGCGGCCUUCUAAGUCGAACGUGAAAUCCCCGGGCUCAACCCGGGAACUGCGUCCGAUACUGGAAGGCUUGAAUCCGGGAGAGGGAUGCGGAAUUCCAGGUGUAGCGGUGAAAUUCGUAGAUAUCGGGAGGAACACCAGUGGCGAAGGCGGCGAUCUGGGCUGAUACUGACGCUGAGGUGCGAAAGCGUGGGGAGCAAA